GAUGAACGCUGGCGGCGUGCUUAACACAUGCAAGUCGAACGGAAAGGCCCAAGCUUGCUUGGGUACUCGAGUGGCGAACGGGUGAGUAACACGUGGGUGAUCUGCCCUGCACUUCGGGAUAAGCCUGGGAAACUGGGUCUAAUACCGGAUAGGACCACUUCUUGGAGGUUGUGGUGGAAAGCUUUUGCGGUGUGGGAUGAGCUCGCGGCCUAUCAGCUUGUUGGUGGGGUAAUGGCCUACCAAGGCGUCGCCGGGUAGCCGGCCUGAGGGGGUGUACGGCCACAUUGGGACUGAGAUACGGCCCAGACUCCUACGGGGGGCAGCAGUGGGGAAUAUUGCACAAUGGGCGCAAGCCUGAUGCAGCGACGCCGCGUGGGGGAUGACGGCCUUCGGGUUGUAAACUCCUUUCGCUAGGGACGAAGCGUUUUGUGACGGUACCUGGAGAAGAAGCACCGGCUAACUACGUG
Molecule: ribosomal RNA, 467 nt
Filed under: uncultured bacterium
Lineage: Bacteria
Description: partial 16S ribosomal RNA
Rfam family: Bacterial small subunit ribosomal RNA
Source: RNAcentral